This 408-nucleotide unclassified non-coding RNA is filed under the name Hevea brasiliensis (rubber tree). The record is from RNAcentral. Lineage: Eukaryota; Viridiplantae; Streptophyta; Magnoliopsida; Malpighiales; Euphorbiaceae.
AGUGCGCACAAGAAGGAGUUAAAGAACAAGCAGAAGGAAGAAGCGAAAUGCCACAAGGAGGAUUGGAGCUUUUGGUUAAUUUACUGGCAAUUUCUGUUCCAAAUGGUGGUUACUGCAUACAAUAAAAAUAUAAAAAAUACUAAAAUAUUUCCUGUGAAUCAAAUCAAAAUUAAAUUAAAAUCAAAUGAAUAUUUUCAGACUUUUUUAAUUUAAUUUUUUUUAAAUGGGUUGUUGGAUAUGCCCUAAAUUGAAUUGGGUCAAUGGAUUCAUCCUCUUUUAGCAGGUUCUUGCUUUCUCACCUAUCCUCUCUCACUCCGACUCUCUCACUUUCUAUCUCAUUCGCGAAGGAGAAAAGCAGCACACUCUCAGUUGCUCUCAGUCGUGAAGGAGUGGUUUGGCCAGUGCGCG